GUGCAGCAGGCGAGAAACCUCCGCAAUGCUCGAAAGAGCGACGGGGGGACUCCAAGUGCCUACGCUCAGCGUAGGCUGUUCCCGAGCCUAAAAAGCUCGGGGAGUAAGGGCUGGGUAAGACGGGUGCCAGCCGCCGCGGUAAUACCCGCAGCCCGAGUGGUGGCCGCUAUUAUUGGGCCUAAAGCGUCCGUAGCCGGCUCGGUAAAUGCCUGGGUAAAUCGUCUGGCCCAACCAGACGAAUUCCGGGUAGACUGCCGGGCUAGGGGACCGGAGGAGGGAGAGGGGUACUCCAGGGGGUAGGGGUGAAAUCAGCAAGGUGAGUUGCUGAUGUAACUUGCCUUGCAAGUCACAAUCCUGUAAUCCCGUGGAGGACCACCGGUGGCGAAGGCGCUCUCCGUAGGACGGGUCCGACGGUGAGGGACGAAAGGCCAGGGGAG
RNAcentral lists this ribosomal RNA (437 nucleotides) under uncultured microorganism. Its description in RNAcentral is "bacterial SSU rRNA". It matches the Rfam family "Archaeal small subunit ribosomal RNA", at positions 330 to 719 of the family's 1478-position model. The record is from RNAcentral.